UUUCUUCUCAAUUUCUGUAUUCGAUUCAGAUCCUUUAUUUUAACCCAAUUAUGUAAGGGAGUGUUUUGAUUAAUUUACUGAAACAUUUUUAUUAAAAUUAUUUUUAGUUUAUCAGAUUAUAAUUAACUUAAUCUAAACACUUUCGGUUUUAUCUUUAUUUUUGUGAUGAAUGUAACGUAGAAGAUUCAUGAAGUUGGGAUGUUUGUGAUGAUUUUAGCAAAAUGAAAUUUCUUCAGGGUUCUAUUUGUAUUUUCAUUGUAACAUUAUCAAAGUUUGGGUUGUUUGUCACUGAAUUAGUAAUCAUACAAGUAGAAAUUAACAGUUUUGUGUAAAGGUUGAAUGGGUUUGUGAUUUAUCAAAAUUUUUGAUUUGUUUUUAGCUUUUAAAAAGUAUUUGGAUGGUCUGUGGUUUUCAUUGUGUAAAACAUUUAGUCUCCGAUCAAUAAAUCCAAAAAUUUUUGCAUGUUCAAGAUAAAGACUAAGGGGUUGUUUGGCAACAUCUGAAUGGUUGAAUGGUUAAGUGCUGAACCAGUAAGAGGUCUGAAUCAUUAAAAGCAUGUAUAAUGCUUAACUGUUCAGAGUCAAAUGUCUGACAAAUUCAAAUUAGAGGUCUUAACUAUUUAUAAAUCUUAACCACUCAGAGAUAAAUGUCUGAACCAUUCAGACAUCUGCUUGUGAAACAAACAGUCUGAACUAUUAAGUGAUGAACCAGUAAGAGAUGUGAACCAUUAAGAGCAAGAGGUAAACAAACGGCCCGUAAAUAUGUUACAAAAUGCAAACCAUAUGAAUCAUUUAUGUACUUUUGAAAAAAAAAACUAGGUGGUAAAUGCGUUAUAUAGUGCAAACCUCAAGGACUAUUUUCUUUACCUUUAGAAAGAGGGGAAACAAAUUCAAAAUUUUAGUAAACCAUAAACAUGUGGGUCCUAAAAAAUAGAAAUUUGUCAAUUAAUCUUUGCCAAUCGCUUAAUUAAAAAAUUAUUACACAAGUUAACAUAGAGUAAAAGCUUGUCAAAUUUGUCAACUAGUCUGCUACAACCGUAUUUGAUUUGGACCUUUUGGAAUCUAUUUUUUUGAAUCGUGUAUUAUCAUAACUGGUGCUCCUCUGAAACUGGGGGAACUGAGCUAGUGUUUACUUGUAUAAAAAUAUAGGUAUGGUCAUUUACCGUAUAUUUGGGUCAAGGUUGUUGCUUUAUCAUCUUUUCUCUAUACUUCACUAACAACCAUUUCUAAAAAUGUUAAUUAUCAUUAGUAAUGCAAACGAGCCUGAGCCUUACCUUAAUUGUGCUAGCUUCAUUACAACUUUCUGAAGCCCGAGUUCGGCUCGAUUUGAGCCUUGGAUUUUGGGCUUGAGCUCGGCUUGUUAGUUAAACUUAAAACUCGAGCUCGGCUUGUUAGUAAAACUUAAAACUCGGGCUUGGCUCGAAAGCUCGAUCUAAGUAUCUAUGGCAAGAGUUAAAACAAGCUAAAGCUUGACUCGAGCUUGUUUUUGGCUAAGGUAAACAUACAAGGCUCGGGCUUGAUAUCUAAUCGAUCCUAAUUUCAAGAUCGGGCUUGAGCUCGAUAAGGCUCGGCUCGUUCAAGCUUUUUAUCGAGUCGAUUUCGAGUAGCUCGCGAGCCGCUCGGCUCGUUUGCACCCCUAAUUAUCAUCUUUUCUCUCUCCAUCACUGACAAUCAUUUCUAAAAAUAUUAAAAAAAAUUAUAAGGUUUCUCUCCCCUGGAAUUUUCUUUCUCAUUUAGAGUAACUUUUUUAUAUAUUUUCUUUCUUUCACUCACAACCACUCAAAAACACUAACUGUCAUUCUUUAUAAUACAACUAAGACUGCUGGGUGUGAGGCUUGGGUUGUCAUGUGGCGGAGGUGGGCUUCCUCAGACCACCCCAAAAAAGUGGGGUUUGGUAGCGGCGUGGAUUGGGGGCUUGGGUUAUCAUGACACUCCUAUUUUUUUUAAACUAAUUAAAAUUUCAUUUAAUUAAAUUAACAAACUAACUAAACAACUACAUAA
RNAcentral lists this long non-coding RNA (2000 nucleotides) under Helianthus annuus (common sunflower). Its description in RNAcentral is "hypothetical non coding rna". The record is from RNAcentral. Lineage: Eukaryota; Viridiplantae; Streptophyta; Magnoliopsida; Asterales; Asteraceae.